RNAcentral lists this ribosomal RNA (444 nucleotides) under uncultured bacterium. RNAcentral describes it as "partial 16S ribosomal RNA". It matches the Rfam family "Bacterial small subunit ribosomal RNA", at positions 354 to 796 of the family's 1533-position model. The record is from RNAcentral.
GUAGGGAAUAUUGGUCAAUGGGCGGAAGCCUGAACCAGCCAUGCCGCGUGCAGGAAGAAGGCCCUCUGGGUUGUAAACUGCUUUUGAUAGGGAACAAAUGCCACUUGCGAGUGGAGCUGAGUGUACCUAUAGAAUAAGCACCGGCUAACUCCGUGCCAGCAGCCGCGGUAAUACGGAGGGUGCAAGCGUUGUCCGGAUUUAUUGGGUUUAAAGGGUGCGUAGGCGGCUCUUUAAGUCAGUGGUGAAAUCCUUCAGCUUAACUGGAGAACUGCCAUUGAUACUGAAGAGCUUGAGUAUAGUUGAGGUAGGCGGAAUUGACAGUGUAGCGGUGAAAUGCUUAGAUAUUGUCAAGAACACCGAUUGCGAAGGCAGCUUACUAAACUAUAACUGACGCUGAGGCACGAAAGCGUGGGUAUCAAACAGGAUUAGAAACCCCGGUAGUCC